GUCGACGCACGCACCGCCGGCUGCAUUUAAAAAUGGCCAAAAAGGAAAUGCAGCACGAUUCUGUCCAAAUGGAUGCCAGGAUACUAGGACUCCAGGACUUUGGGACGCCCGGAGAUCGGAACAGCAGGAUAACAGAUGGUGAGGCGCUGGUUCUUAGUGGCAAGUCAUAAAUGUCAGGAGCUUCUUAGACCCGAAAUCAUCCGAGACACACAUGCGAGCAGCCAGUCGUGCACUGAAAAAAAUCCAGCCACUUCAAAUGAAUUCUGAUAAUUCGGAUGAAAGCGAGCGCUUCCUUUAAACAAGUAGUGGUGGCAACUUAAAACAACUUUGUUCGCGAGUGUAUUUAUUCGACUGACAAAUAACUCAAAAUGUGAUUGAUGGCGGCCCUGACACGCUGACACAUAUAAAUGCCUGCAAAUGGAGCACGAGACGCUGCCGCUGACGUGUCAUGAGGGUCCGGAAUUUCGAAUCCGGAAUCCAUGCAUGGCUACCAGUAGCAGCAUCAGCAGCAGGAUGAGCACCCCCACCCACCUCCGCCCCCCCAGAAGUCGUGCUCCUAAUCCACCCCGGCCACAGACCAAAAAAAAAAAGUAGAGAAAAAAACCAGAAACAGAACCUUUGUUUUGGCAAUAGGCGUGCGUGAUUUUUGCGGCCGCAUCAUUACUCAACGUUCUAAGUGCUUUUCUUGGCAAAUUCAGCUGCCAGUGGGUGGAGUGGGCGGCGUUUAACCCACGAUUAUUGCCAUUCAUGGCCCGAGACUAAAGUAUGUCAACAAACUUCUGAGGACGCCGGAACUGGCCCCAAGUUGGCCCCAAGUUGGUGGCAACUUACUGCGAGACAACUGUUUCAGUUCAGUUUCAGUUUCAGUUUCAGUGGCCAAAUGAAUGCAAUUUGUAGUCCAGGUCCACGUGAAAUUGGGACUCGGGGCUUUCAUUUACAUUAAGUAAUUACGUGGAAAACCCACGGCAAAUGGCCGAGCAAUAAAGAGGAAAAUGGGGGUUGGGGGCGAAAGUCGGUGUAAUGUUUAGAAUCUAUUCCAGCCCCUGUCCGCGCCGCAGGCCAACUUUUCAGACUUUUAUGCGGAAUGCUCCUGUUUAGUCCAAUUUGUUGGAAUCCACCAUUAAGUGGAGGUUGUUUUUUUUUUUAAAAGAGAACUAGUUUAAUUCAUAAUUGCCCGUUUCUAUUACUAAUUGGGCAACUGAAUGCCUCUUAUCUCGAAAAUGAUGAGCAUCCGGUUGUUUGAGUGGGAUGCUGCUGGAUGAUUGGACCGUGUAUUUAUUCCUUCGUUUAAAAUUAAUGCCCCAACAUGGUGGCUGCCUGCUUGGCUGAUAUGUGAGUGCUGUCCAUUAGGAUCGGUUGACAUAUGUCCCACCUUAUGUGUGCCCCAAGGGCCAGCAAACAGCGCUGCUCAUCUUCAUUCAGCUCAAGUUGUCUUGAAUGGCGAAGUUCGGAGAGUCCGGAGUGCGUAAUACAAAUUGCCGGCAAUUUUGAAACAUGACCACCCCAAUCCAGGACGGUAGCUACCGCUCUGGGAAAACCGCCCACCAGGAGCAAGCGUUCCAUGGCCGGAGCGAUGGCAUCACUUCAAAACUGAUGACACUGUCAAUUUGGAUGGGCGCCCGUUGCACGCAGGCAUUUCGGGUUGAUUGGGGUGGGUGGGGGCUGCCCCGCCCACUUUACGCCACAUGAUGAAUCUCUCACUCCACUCCACACUCCAAACCGCCCACACAUCCACAUUCACAUCGAGUGGGCCCAUCCCCCGUGGGUGAUGCAUUGCAAUGACAUUUUCAUGCUUUAUCUGCGGCUGGCCUCGCAUAAAUUCCUGUUUUCCACGCCCAGCAGGAUCGCAGGUUGAGUUUUUUAUGGGAGGGGGUUGGGGGUUUGGCUUCGCAAACUGCCGGAAAAGGUGGCCAAAUUUAUAUAAAAUAAUUUAUGGAAUUUGCAGAAUAUAAAUAAAUGAUUGCCUUAGAAAGGCAAGAAAGUACCACAAUUUAGUGACGUAUUCAAUAUACACUCUAAACACCCAAGAACAUUACUUAGCCCCCUUUUGCUGGGCGCCACUGACUUUUGCGGCUGCUGCUGCUGCUGCUUGACAUAAAAAUGCAGUCAAUCCUCUUGACAAAUUUUACUUUUAUUACACGCUUUGUUUAUGUGAAUUUGUGUACAUGGCAUUUGCACAUCAUCAAUGUACGAGCUUUUCCCUUCGCCGCUGCUUGUGCGAAACAUUGGCGAAUAGGAGUGAAAAUACGAUUGCUCCUGCUGCCAUCAUGAUCAUCAUCGUCAUCGUCAUCAUUAUCGACAUGGAAACUGUGCACAUGACUUGGCAAUGCUCUAAAAAGAAGUCCGGCUUGCUUUUCCCACUUGCCGUUCGGAUGACAUGACUUUGCGGCCAACAUCGUCCUGUUGGCUUGGACAAUGUCCUUCCUUGCUUACAAGUGGCUCUUCUCGGGGGUUUCGAUGGGGAUUUUGCUAUGACGCCGCCAAGUGGAAUGCAAAUAUUUGCCAGCUUUAUUAGUGCUUCGAAAUGAGUUGGGUGUAAUCUAUGAAAAUUUUGACUAUUGAAAAU
This is a non-coding RNA of Drosophila melanogaster (fruit fly), 2566 nucleotides long. Lineage: Eukaryota; Metazoa; Arthropoda; Insecta; Diptera; Drosophilidae. The record is from Ensembl.